Molecule: ribosomal RNA, 440 nt
Filed under: uncultured bacterium
Lineage: Bacteria
Description: partial 16S ribosomal RNA
Rfam family: Bacterial small subunit ribosomal RNA
Source: RNAcentral
CCUACGGGUGGCAGCAGUGGGGAAUAUUGCACAAUGGGGGAAACCCUGAUGCAGCGACGCCGCGUGAAGGAAGAAGUAUUUCGGUAUGUAAACUUCUAUCAGCAGGGAAGAAAAUGACGGUACCUGUCUAAGAAGCCCCGGCUAACUACGUGCCAGCAGCCGCGGUAAUACGUAGGGGGCAAGCGUUAUCCGGAUUUACUGGGUGUAAAGGGAGCGUAGGCGGUUUAGCAAGUCAGAAGUGAAAGCCCGGGGCUCAACCCCGGGACUGCUUUUGAAACUGUUGAACUAGAGUGCAGGAGAGGUAAGUGGAAUGCCUAGUGUAGCGGUGAAAUGCGUAGAUAUUAGGAGGAACACCAGUGGCGAAGGCGGCUUACUGGACUGUAAAUGACGCUGAGGCUCGAAAGCGUGGGGAGCAAACAGGAUUAGAUACCCUAGUAGUC